GAUGAACGCUGGCGGCGUGCCUAAUACAUGCAAGUCGAGCGAACAGAUGAGGAGCUUGCUCCUCUGACGUUAGCGGCGGACGGGUGAGUAACACGUGGAUAACCUACCUAUAAGACUGGGAUAACUUCGGGAAACCGGAGCUAAUACCGGAUAAUAUAUUGAACCGCAUGGUUCAAUAGUGAAAGACGGUUUUGCUGUCACUUAUAGAUGGAUCCGCGCCGCAUUAGCUAGUUGGUAAGGUAAUGGCUUACCAAGGCAACGAUGCGUAGCCGACCUGAGAGGGUGAUCGGCCACACUGGAACUGAGACACGGUCCAGACUCCUACGGGAGGCAGCAGUAGGGAAUCUUCCGCAAUGGGCGAAAGCCUGACGGAGCAAAGCCACGUGAGUGAUGAAGGUCUUCGGAUCGUAAAACUCUGUUAUUAGGGAAGAACAAAUGUGUAAGUAACUAUGCACGUCUUGACGGUACCUAAUCAGAAAGCCACGGCUAACUACGUG
This 497-nucleotide ribosomal RNA is filed under the name uncultured bacterium. Its description in RNAcentral is "partial 16S ribosomal RNA". It matches the Rfam family "Bacterial small subunit ribosomal RNA", at positions 28 to 507 of the family's 1533-position model. The record is from RNAcentral.